Molecule: ribosomal RNA, 163 nt
Filed under: Listeria monocytogenes
Lineage: Bacteria; Bacillati; Bacillota; Bacilli; Caryophanales; Listeriaceae
Description: partial 16S ribosomal RNA
Rfam family: Bacterial small subunit ribosomal RNA
Source: RNAcentral
UCCCGGGCCUUGUACACACCGCCCGUCACACCACGAGAGUUUGUAACACCCGAAGUCGGUAGGGUAACCUUUAUGGAGCCAGCCGCCGAAGGUGGGACAGAUAAUUGGGGUGAAGUCGUAACAAGGUAGCCGUAUCGGAAGGUGCGGCUGGAUCACCUCCUUU